UACUCUUCAGUGAUUGGGAGGACUUUAUUCCCAGAAAUAUAAUAUAGCAAAAUCAUAUUCUUUUUACUGCUUUUAAACAUCAAUUUUGAUGUUGUCUACGUAUUCCAGUGUGUGUUUUUAUUUUACUUGAUUUAGUAUCAUAAAGUGUUGUCUUACUGCAAUCUUAAUAUUUCUCCAUCUAUUAUAUAUAGUCACUUGUCUUUUUUAGUUAAGAUCUGAGGCUGGGUUAGUAUAUUUUGAGGCCUAGUGCUUCACUAGCUACUUUAGCAAAUGAAGUUAGUGGGAAUUUACCCACUGAAGUCUUAGAUACCAUUCUCCCAGUUUCCCAUUAUUUUAUUGC
RNAcentral lists this long non-coding RNA (340 nucleotides) under Homo sapiens (human). Its description in RNAcentral is "non-protein coding lnc-POU4F3-3:1". Lineage: Eukaryota; Metazoa; Chordata; Mammalia; Primates; Hominidae. The record is from RNAcentral.